RNAcentral lists this ribosomal RNA (1269 nucleotides) under Aeromicrobium sp. RNAcentral's name for it is "bacterial SSU rRNA". The record is from RNAcentral. Lineage: Bacteria; Bacillati; Actinomycetota; Actinomycetes; Propionibacteriales; Nocardioidaceae.
GAUAAUGGUUGGAUACGACGGAUAAUGCCGAAUAUGAACUCCUUUCGCAUGUUUGGAGGUGGAAAGCUCCGGCGGAGAAGGAUGAGCUCGCGGCCUAUCAGCUUGUUGGUGAGGUAAUGGCUCACCAAGGCAUUGACGGGUAGCCGGCCUGAGAGGGUGACCGGCCACACUGGGACUGAGACACGGCCCAGACUCCUACGGGAGGCAGCAGUGGGGAAUAUUGGACAAURGGCGAAANGCCKRAKCCAGCAACGCCGCGNUGAGGGAUGACGGCCUUCGGGUUGUAAACCUCUUUCAGCAGGGACGAAGCGAAAGUGACGGUACCUGCAGAAGAAGGACCGGCCAACUACGUGCCAGCAGCCGCGGUAAUACGUAGGGUCCGAGCGUUGUCCGGAAUUAUUGGGCGUAAAGGGCUCGUAGGCGGUUUGUCGCGUCGGNAGUGAAAACUCAGGGCUCAACCCUGAGCGUGCUUCCGAUACGGGCAGACUAGAGGUAUGCAGGGGAGAACGGAAUUCCUGGUGUAGCGGUGGAAUGCGCAGAUAUCAGGAGGAACACCGGUGGCGAAGGCGGUUCUCUGGGCAUUACCUGACGCUGAGGAGCGAAAGCAUGGGGAGCGAACAGGAUUAGAUACCCUGGUAGUCCAUGCCGUAAACGUUGGGCGCUAGGUGUGGGGACCUUCCACGGUCUCCGUGCCGCAGCUAACGCAUUAAGCGCCCCGCCUGGGGAGUACGGCCGCAAGGCUAAAACUCAAAGGAAUUGACGGGGGCCCGCACAAGCGGCGGAGCAUGCUGAUUAAUUCGAUGCAACGCGAAGAACCUUACCUGGGUUUGACAUAUACCGGAAAGCUGCAGAGAUGUAGCCCCCUUUUGGUCGGUAUACAGGUGGUGCAUGGCGUCGUCAGCUCGUGUCGUGAGAUGUUGGGUUAAGUCCCGCAACGAGCGCAACCCUCGUCCUAUGUUGCCAGCACGUCAUGGUGGGGACUCAUAGGAGACUGCCGGGGUCAACUCGGAGGAAGGUGGGGAUGACGUCAAGUCUUCAUGCCCCUUAUGUCCAGGGCUUCAAGCAUGCUACAAUGGCCGGUACAAAGGGCUGCGAAACCGCAAGGUGGAGCGAAUCCCAAAAAGCCGGUCUCAGUUCGGAUUGGGGUCUGCAACUCGACCCCAUGAAGUCGGAGUCGCUGGUAAUCGCAGAUCAGCAACGGUGCGGUGAAUACGUUCCCGGGCCUAUACACACCGCCCUCCAUAUCUUGAAACUCGGCAACACCAGAGU